AGCACCCGGAAGGGUCCUCCAAGCAGCCGAUCCCCUCCUCCAGGUCAGCUUGGGUUUUCCACAGAGCCAGGGGCCGGGGUCCCCACGUGUGUGUCCUUAUGGAUAGGAGAGGGCUUGGGUGACCUCAGGACCCCUGACAGCAUCCUGACUUCCCUCAUUGCUGCCCACCCAUUCCAGCAUCGGGGGUCAUGAGAGAGGCCAGGCCAGACUCACCCAACCCUGCCAUGGAGGCCGAAGCAGGCACCUUUGGGCAAAGAAGGUUUGAGGGAAGAGAAACCCUUCAGGCCGGGCUCCCUGAGCUGCCUUUGAGAGGAGAGGCCCCCAGGCUGCUGCUGAGACCAAGGAGCUACCAUUCCUGGGUGGGGGAAGUGGGGGUUCCCCAGGCUCCCAGGCCUCUAGGGCACCCUCUCCUACAUCCAGUCGAGGCAAUUUCUCAGGAAGGCCUGAGUCCAUGUGAGGAAUGGGUUCAGCUGUGCAGAGGGCGGCUGGUGAGUUGGCAGGUGACUCAGGCAGGAGCCCCCAACUCAUUUGCCCCCGCGUCCCCAGAAGGCUGCCUACUCCUGUACUGUGCCCAGCCAACCUCACCAGCCCCCGCAGCCUCCACGGCGAGCCGGGCAGAGCUGCUGGGAACUGGGCUGGAGACCAGCCGACCAGCAGACCCCCACCUUCCGGAUCUCGUGCUGCCCAAGGCCACCAUCUCUACCAGGCCCAGGUCUCCUCUCAGGGAUGAGAAGUGGGAAACCACUCUGAGGAGGAAGCUAAGUCCCCUCCUUGUCCCGAGCUAUAGACCGAACACCACAGGGCCAGGUCCCUUCCCCUCCUGUCCUAUAGACACCAACACCACAGGGCCAGGUCCCCUCCCUCCCGUCCUAUAG
RNAcentral lists this long non-coding RNA (875 nucleotides) under Papio anubis (olive baboon). RNAcentral's name for it is "lncRNA (ENSPANG00000047753.1)". The record is from RNAcentral. Lineage: Eukaryota; Metazoa; Chordata; Mammalia; Primates; Cercopithecidae.